GUGGAUUAGAUACCCUGGUAGUCCACACCGUAAACGUUGGGCGCUAGGUGUGGGGCCUAUUCCAUGGGUUCCGUGCCGCAGCUAACGCAUUAAGCGCCCCGCCUGGGGAGUACGGCCGCAAGGCUAAAACUCAAAGGAAUUGACGGGGGCCCGCACAAGCGGCGGAGCAUGCGGAUUAAUUCGAUGCAACGCGAAGAACCUUACCUGGGUUUGACAUACACCCUGCCGCUCCAGAGAUGGGGCUUCUUUUGGGGGUGUACAGGUGGUGCAUGGCCGUCGACAACU
RNAcentral lists this ribosomal RNA (285 nucleotides) under uncultured bacterium. RNAcentral's name for it is "partial 16S ribosomal RNA". It matches the Rfam family "Bacterial small subunit ribosomal RNA", at positions 773 to 1060 of the family's 1533-position model. The record is from RNAcentral.